AACCCGUCAGCAACUGACACCGGACGAGGCCCGCCGUACCCGGCCAGCGACAAGACGGCGCGGU
RNAcentral lists this non-coding RNA (64 nucleotides) under Mycobacterium celatum. The record is from RNAcentral. Lineage: Bacteria; Bacillati; Actinomycetota; Actinomycetes; Mycobacteriales; Mycobacteriaceae.